Long non-coding RNA from Perca fluviatilis (European perch), 611 nucleotides. RefSeq lists it as uncharacterized. The transcript is spliced from 4 exons. Lineage: Eukaryota; Metazoa; Chordata; Actinopteri; Perciformes; Percidae. The record is from RefSeq and is a predicted model, not a curated record.
UGGUUGCCAACCGCCAUUCAAAACCACAAGAAGAAGAAGAAGAAGAAGAAGAAGAAGAGCUCUUCUUGGAGAGAGGAGCUGCGAUGUCUCCAUAGACAGUAGGAUUUCUCCUCUUGCAAGAGUCGAAGGUUAGCAGAACGUAUCAUCUCAUAUCAGCAAGUCCAAGAAUGAUGUACCAGUACAGCCCAACUUGAAUUUAUUCCCAACACUUUUGAUGGGGGGCAGAAGACGGAGCUUCAGGCCAAACUGUCCCCUCCCCAGGCCAGCUGCAGAACAGGGUCCAGAGCGUCGGGAACUUCUCCACGUUGUCACGUUGCCUACGUCAGCCCCACCAUCAAGGGCUCGGCCCCCACGCCGGCCUCCACCAGCCUCCAGUGUCUGAACAUCAGCGGCUGGGGGGGGGGCAGCGGGGUCAUCACUGGCAUCCCUAUGCUGUGUGGAGCAGGGGCGCCGACUUCCACCCCAAACACGCCACGCAGCGGCCUGCCCUGCCCCGCCUCCUUUGUUGGCACCCCAAGCUCCACCCCCCCCUCCCCCCCCAGCAAGGGCCAACCAGCGCAGAGUUUCCAAAGAGCCUGUCCACCCUCAGAUUCGCUUGGGACAGCAGCUGG